CUGCAAGUCUAUAUCAAACUUUUCAUUUUCACAUUGUGCUGAGUUUCUCAUUCACUUAAAUUCACUUACGGAUAUUUCUUUAUGCGAAGAGUCGAAGGCAAUAGCAAAAACUGUGAGUUGUAUUUGGCUUUUGUCAGUUGAUUCAGUUUUAUACUGUUUGAAAUUUGUUCCUCGACCUUGCACUUUUGUUCAAAACAAUUUUAAGAACAUUUUGUCCCAAGUUUUGAUUGGCUGAUCAAAGCGAUUAACGCGAGCGAACAAUUUUUUUUCGACUUUCGGCGUCUUGUUGUCUAUUUUGUAUACUUGUUGGCUUUCCAAAGUCAUUGUUUGUUUUACAAUAGCUAAAAUUGGGAGUCUUACUGCUUGUUUUCAAACUAUAUAAUAGAAGAAGGAGAAAAAGCCAGAGUAUAUAUACUUAACAUCUAAACAUGACACUGGUGUGCGUAAAUAUAGCAAAGCCACGGAAUUAAUACAAGUGAGCAAGUGACCUCAGUGUACCUCAAGACCAAGCCAG
Non-coding RNA from Paramuricea clavata, 514 nucleotides. The record is from the annotation of a GenBank genome assembly. NCBI's taxonomy places the organism in Eukaryota, Metazoa, Cnidaria, Anthozoa, Malacalcyonacea, Plexauridae.